GGCCAGAGCUGGCCCGCCCAGGUGCUAUUUCCUGGCAUCCUCCAGAGAUGCUGGUACUCGAGGCUCCAAGAGAGCCAUACACACCUCAGGUCACAGCCCCAGUGCCACAGCGUGUCAGGGAAGAAAUGGGUGACGGCUGUUUUCUCCACGGGCUCCUUUCUCAUCCUGGCGACCAAGUACCAGACUGCCUCUCCAGUUUCUAGUCUCCACUGCUCUUUGCCCCGCUGGAACCCUUCUCUCACCCAAAUGCACAAUCCAGUGUCUUUCUGCCAGAUCCCCCUUCCCCUCGUGUAUCUCAGUUUCUUCACACAGCUGCCGGUACCCUAGGACCUUCGCCUGACUCUGAGUCCCCGCUGAGGCUCAGAGAGGAAGCCUGGUUACAAUCAUGUUACAUGUGUGUCCUGGAGACCGGUGUCUGGCCUUCCCUGGAGUGACAAAGACAGAGCUAUAUGUUCACCAAACCAUCUCAUUCCUCUCCCAGGCAUUUAGAAAAUGUAGGCUUGCGACCCCCUCACAUCUGCUGGCGCCGACAGAAGGGACCUUGGAGGCCACGUGCUGGAGACGGCAGAUGGCAGUGCCCACAGUGGACGGAACCUGGGUGCCUGAACCAUCAUGCCGAGAACCCUGCCCUCAUCCGAACGCACCUGUGAUACUAUGGUGUGGGAGAAGACUCUUCAGAGUCCCUUGGACUGCAAGGAGAUCCAACCAGUCAAUCCUAAAGGAAAUCAACCCUGAACAUUUAUUGGAAGGAGUGAUGCUGAAGCUAAAGUUCCAAUACUUUGGCUACCUGAUGCAAAGAGCCGACCCUGGAAAAGACCCUGAUGGUGGGGAAGAUUGAAGGCAGGAGGAGAAGAGGGCGACAGAGGAUGAGAUGGUUGCCAUUUCCUCCUCCAGGGUAUCUUCCCGACCCAGGGAUCGAACCCACUGUCCUGCAACCAAAUAAAUAAAAAUAGAUAUUAAGAAAAGACUGGUGAGAGAGCAAGUCGGGAGUAGACUGCACGGUGCAGGGUGAGCAGCCUGGUGCUCUGCUCCGCAGGGGCUCUGGCCAGAGGAAGGGCUUCAAACCCGGAGUGAGCUGGGGUUCCAACUCUGUGUCUACCACCUGGGGGACGUGGUGUGGCCAACUUAACCUCUGGACCUCAGCUUCCACAUCUGGGAAAUGGAGCAACAGCACUGAUGACGCUGCUCCCUGAAGGAUGCUCUGAGGGCCAAUAGGAAACACCAGGGCAGGUCUGCUCUGUAGGCUCCACGGCCUCACCGUGCUGCCCAACCCUUGUGGAGCCUCUGCUUUAAGACAGAACAUAGGUGUAUGCAUGAAAAAACAGUAAGUGUGUACACUGGCAUAUAUGUAUGUAUACAUGAAUACAUGUGUAUAUGUACAUAAAAUAUGUGUAUGUGUAUAUGCAAAAGGGCUUCCCUGGUGGCUCAGCUGGUAAAGAAUCCACCUGCAAGGCAGGAGCUGCAGGAGACACAGGUUCGAUCCCUGGGUGGGGAAGAUCCCCUGGAGGAGGAAAUGGCAACCCACUCCAGUAUUCUUGCCUGGGAAAUCCCAUGGACAGAGGAGCCUGGUAGGCUACAGUCUAUAGGGUCACAAGUGUCGGACACAACUUAGUAACUAUACGCCGCCCCCCCCCCCAUAUAUGCAAAGACAUACA
Molecule: long non-coding RNA, 1655 nt
Filed under: Ovis aries (sheep)
Lineage: Eukaryota; Metazoa; Chordata; Mammalia; Artiodactyla; Bovidae
Description: lncRNA (ENSOARG00000025884.1)
Source: RNAcentral